Molecule: non-coding RNA, 669 nt
Organism: Cinara cedri
Lineage: Eukaryota; Metazoa; Arthropoda; Insecta; Hemiptera; Aphididae
Source: the annotation of a GenBank genome assembly
GUGAUUGCAAUUGUUGUAUAAUGUGUAAUUUGGAUUUUCGGUGUUAAACAUGUUAAUUAAUUAAAUUUUAAAUGAAACGAAAUACACUCGACUCGUUCUUUAAUACACAACUAAAGAAGACAAAUAUUCAUGUGCAAAACGAAGAUGUAAAUAAAAGAAAGUCGAUAAUAUUUAAUUAAUUAUAAAUAUAAACUAUUUCGUUUUUUAAAACUGUUAAUUAUUGUCUAAUUGAUUUUUGAACAAUCAAUUAGGGUACUAGUGGGAAAAAUACUUUCGAACAAAUCAGUGACUAGCCCACAACCACCACACUAGUAAGAACUAAAAAUCAAUUAAAAUAUUUAAGUCAAAUCAAAUUUGAAUUCAAAAUCUAAACCACAUAUUGUUAAGGUGUUAUACUUAUUCUACCUAGUGGAAGGCCUAGAGGGCACUUAAUAUGUGACUUAAUAUUUGUACAAUUAUACAUAUAGAUUGUUGAUGGUAUAAAUGUUUUAUGAAGUACCUGUGUAUAUUAUAUUUUGUUUUUAUUUAUCUUAGAUAGAAAAUGCUCCUGGUGAUAAUAUUAGUAAUAUUGAUGAAAGUGGAAAGGAAUUUGAGAUUUGUGUUUAUAACACUUCUUUAUUUAUUAAAACAUCUAAGUCAUUAAACAGAUGGGGAAAAACUAAAGGUGAC